GUGAGAAUCCUGUGUUCACACCACCUCAAAGAGAGAAACUGUGCCAUGGAAACCAUUUCCCAAUUGGUGACAGACUCCAGAGAGUUCACACUGUUGUCUACAAUGAUGCUGAUAACUUCUCUGCCACAGAUACCUGCCUCUAUGAUGUUCUGCUAAGCCACUGUGGACUCAACCCUCUGAUCCCGUGAGGUAAUCAUUCCAGUUAACAGAGAAACCAAAG
Molecule: long non-coding RNA, 220 nt
Organism: Meriones unguiculatus (Mongolian gerbil)
Lineage: Eukaryota; Metazoa; Chordata; Mammalia; Rodentia; Muridae
Exons: 3
Source: RefSeq, a predicted model, not a curated record